Molecule: ribosomal RNA, 438 nt
Filed under: uncultured bacterium
Lineage: Bacteria
Description: partial 16S ribosomal RNA
Rfam family: Bacterial small subunit ribosomal RNA
Source: RNAcentral
CCACGGGGGGCAGCAGUGGGGAAUAUUGCACAAUGGGGGAAACCCUGAUGCAGCGACGCCGCGUGAGUGAAGAAGCGCCUCGGCGCGUAAAGCUCUGUCAGCAGGAACGAUAAUGACGGUACCUGAAGAAGAAGCCCCGGCUAACUACGUGCCAGCAGCCGCGGUAAUACGUAGGGGGCAAGCGUUAUCCGGAUUUACUGGGUGUAAAGGGGGCGUAGACGGCGGGGCAAGUCUGGAGUGAAAGGCCGGGGCCCAACCCCGGGACGGCUCUGGAACUGCCCGGCUGGGGUGCGGGAGAGGUAAGCGGAAUUCCUAGUGUAGCGGUGAAAUGCGUAGAUAUUAGGAGGAACACCAGCGGCGAAGGCGGCUUACUGGACCGUGACUGACGUUGAGGCUCGAAAGCGUGGGGAGCAAACAGGAUUAGAUACCCGUGUAGUC